Small nuclear RNA from Chionomys nivalis (European snow vole), 107 nucleotides. Lineage: Eukaryota; Metazoa; Chordata; Mammalia; Rodentia; Cricetidae. The record is from RefSeq and is a predicted model, not a curated record.
GUGUUGGCUUGGGCAGCACACUUGCUAAAAUUGGAACAAUUACAAGAUGAUUAGCAUGGCCCCUGUGCAAGGGUGGCAUGCGAAUUUGUGAAGUGUUCCACAUUUUU